This 494-nucleotide ribosomal RNA is filed under the name uncultured bacterium. Its description in RNAcentral is "bacterial SSU rRNA". It matches the Rfam family "Bacterial small subunit ribosomal RNA", at positions 791 to 1304 of the family's 1533-position model. The record is from RNAcentral.
UAGUCCACACCGUAAACGAUGAAUGCCAGUCGUCGGGUUGCAUGCAAUUCGGUGACACACCUAACGGAUUAAGCAUUCCGCCUGGGGAGUACGGUCGCAAGAUUAAAACUCAAAGGAAUUGACGGGGGCCCGCACAAGCGGUGGAGCAUGUGGAUUAAUUCGAAGCAACGCGCAGAACCUUACCAACCCUUGACAUGCCUGUUUCGGGAUCUGGAGACAGAUCCUUUCAGUUCGGCUGGACAGUGCACAGGUGCUGCAUGGCUGUCGUCGACUCGUGUCGUGAGAUGUUCGGUUAAGUCCGGCAACGAGCGCAACCCACGUCCCUAGUUGCCAGCAUUCAGUUGGGCACUCUAUGGAAACCGCCGGUGAUAAGCCGGAGGAAGGUGUGGUAUGACGUCAAGUCCUCAUGGCCCUUAUGGGUUGGGCUACACACGUGCUACAAUGGUAGUGACAAUGGGUUAAUCCCCAAAAGCUAUCUCAGUUCGGAUUGCUCU